GCCAGAAGAUUGCAACACGGAUGGCAUGUCCACUGUCGUUGUUCCCUCCUUGGCCAGGGAAGAAGGCUUUGAACUUGAUAACUCUUUGAGUUGCCGGGUCUUGGUUUCAGCAGACAGAUAAUGAAGCCGGAAAGUCACACUGGCUGAUCCAAAAGGACUGGAAAGUUGAGAAUAAUUAAAUGCUUCUUCUGCAUCAGGACUUUUUAAGAAGACUAUCCUUGCACAGUAAUUAGUGUAGAACAUCUCAGUUUCAUCUUUGUUCAAAGCCCCGAAUUUUCCAUAUAUUUUAAGGAGAUCGUUCUUUGAAGGCAAAGAAGAUCCUGGACCAAAUGUCACAAAAAGGGCAGCGCCUGUAGCUUGGCCUUCAGAUUCCUUAUCCUUUGCCUUCAUUUCUUGUGCACUGACAGCUUGUUUUCCUUUAGGUUCAUCCAAUUUUGCUUCUUCACUCUUUUUGGUGUUUGUCCUCUGGGAUUUACGUUCAGAUGAACUGUGGUCAGACUGAUUUUGCUCCUUUACCAGUGGCACAGUAUCAGAUUUUUGGGACUUCCUCUUUUUCCCUGGAUGAUGUUCAAUGUACAUAUCAUUAUCAGACCCAUUGCAAUGGAUUGAACUUCUGAAUGCAGAAAAAAAUUUCCCAACCGUAUCAAGUGAGUUGGUGUCCUUCAGAUGCUGUGGACUGAGAGCCGCAAACCGUAUUUUGGAUAGAACUUCACUAGCAGGUACCUUAACUAUCAUCAGAUCAAUGUUGUUCUGUUCUUGUCUUGGUGUUUG
RNAcentral lists this unclassified non-coding RNA (771 nucleotides) under Hevea brasiliensis (rubber tree). The record is from RNAcentral. Lineage: Eukaryota; Viridiplantae; Streptophyta; Magnoliopsida; Malpighiales; Euphorbiaceae.